UGGGGAAUAUUGGACAAUGGGCGCAAGCCUGAUCCAGCCAUGCCGCGUGAGUGAAGAAGGCCCUAGGGUUGUAAAGCUCUUUCACCCGCGAAGAUGAUGACGGUAGCGGGAGAAGAAGCCCCGGCUAACUCCGUGCCAGCAGCCGCGGUAAUACGGAGGGGGCAAGCGUUGUUCGGAAUUACUGGGCGUAAAGGGCGCGUAGGCGGUCUGUUGCGUCAGGUGUGAAAGCCCCGGGCUCAACCUGGGAGGUGCACUUGAUACGGGCAGGCUAGAAUCCGGGAGAGGAUGGUGGAAUUCCCAGUGUAGAGGUGAAAUUCGUAGAUAUUGGGAAGAACACCGAUGGCGAAGGCAGCCAUCUGGACCGGUAUUGACGCUGAGGCGCGAAAGCGUGGGGAGCAAACAGGAUUAGAUACCCCCGUAGUCC
Molecule: ribosomal RNA, 424 nt
Filed under: uncultured prokaryote
Description: bacterial SSU rRNA
Rfam family: Bacterial small subunit ribosomal RNA
Source: RNAcentral